Molecule: ribosomal RNA, 624 nt
Filed under: Microbacterium sp. NASA2-36
Lineage: Bacteria; Bacillati; Actinomycetota; Actinomycetes; Micrococcales; Microbacteriaceae
Description: bacterial SSU rRNA
Rfam family: Bacterial small subunit ribosomal RNA
Source: RNAcentral
UAACGCAUUAAGUGCCCCGCCUGGGGAGUACGGCCGCAAGGUAAAACUCAAAGGAAUUGACGGGGGCCCGCACAAGCGGCGGAGCUGCGGAUUAAUUCGAUGCAACGCGAAGAACCUUACCAAGGCUUGACAUGUUCUCGAUCGCCGUAGAGAUACGGUUUCCCCUUUGGGGCGGGUUCACAGGUGGUGCAUGGUGUCGUCAGCUCGUGUCGUGAGAUGUUGGGUUAAGUCCCGCAACGAGCGCAACCCUCGUUCCAUGUUGCCAGCACGUAAUGGUGGGGACUCAUGGGAGACUGCCGGGGUCAACUCGGAGGAAGGUGAGGACGACGUCAAAUCAUCAUGCCCCUUAUGUCUUGGGCUUCACGCAUGCUACAAUGGCCGGUACAAUGGGUUGCGAUACUGUGAGGUGGAGCUAAUCCCAAAAAGCCGGUCUCAGUUCGGAUUGGGGUCUGCAACUCGACCCCAUGAAGUGGGAGUCGCUAGUAAUCGCAGAUCAGCAACGCUGCGGUGAAUACGUUCCCGGGCCUUGUACACACCGCCCGUCAAGUCACGAAAGUUGGUAACACCCGAAGCCGGUGGCCUAACCCUUGUGGGGGGAGCCGUCGAAGGUGGGACCAGCGAUUG